Molecule: non-coding RNA, 76 nt
Filed under: Sulfuritalea hydrogenivorans
Lineage: Bacteria; Pseudomonadati; Pseudomonadota; Betaproteobacteria; Nitrosomonadales; Sterolibacteriaceae
Also listed under: 1 other name
Description: SAH sequence
Rfam family: SAH (S-adenosyl-L-homocysteine) riboswitch aptamer
Source: RNAcentral
CUUCCGAGGAGCGCUGCAAGGGUAGUUUCCGCUUACCCCCCAGGCUCGGGCCAUCUUCAAACUGCGCUCACCUAAC